UACUAGAGUAGCACUCGCAUAUCAAUAAGCGGAGGAAAAGAAACUAACAAGGAUUCCCCUAGUAACGGCGAGUGAAGCGGGAAGAGCUCAAAUUUGAAAUCUUAAAGGGUUUCCCUUUACGAAUUGUAGUUUAAAGAAGUGUUUUCUGUUGAGGUUUUGGUAAAAGUUCUUUGGAAUAGGACAUCAUAGAGGGUGAGAAUCCCGUAUUUGACCUUUACUUUCAACUUUGUGAUACACUUUCAAAGAGUCGGAUUGUUUGGGAAUGCAGUCCAAAAUGGGUGGUAAAUUUCAUCUAAGGCUAAAUAUUGGCGAGAGACCGAUAGCGAACAAGUACCGUGAGGGAAAGAUGAAAAGAACUUUGAAAAGAGAGUUAGACAGUACGUGAAAUUGUCAAAAGGGAAGCGUUUGACACCAGUGUUGUUUUUCUGAAAAUCAAUUAAAGAACUGUUUAUGCUAAGCUGUUUAGACUUUAUCAGCUAUCUGUUUAGUUUUGAGCUUUUCCUUAAUGCACUUUUCAGUUAACAAGUCAACAUCAAUUUCUUUUGCUGUAAAAAAGCUUGAGGAAGGUGGCUUGAGAUUCGUCUUAAGUGUUUAUAGCCUCUUGCCUAUGCAGUCGGAGAGAUUGAGGUCUGCAGCGUAGAUCCUUCGGGGCUAAAUGCAUUUGUGCUAAGUUAUAGCAUUUUAUAGACAACUUGUUGACUAUGAUUUGUCUUGUAGCUUACUCGCUUAUGUUAUUUUACCUACGCUUAGGAUGUUGAGCGCAUGUCUCUCUCU
This 774-nucleotide ribosomal RNA is filed under the name uncultured Neocallimastigales. RNAcentral describes it as "partial large subunit ribosomal RNA". It matches the Rfam family "Eukaryotic large subunit ribosomal RNA", at positions 20 to 616 of the family's 3401-position model. The record is from RNAcentral. Lineage: Eukaryota; Fungi; Neocallimastigomycota; Neocallimastigomycetes; Neocallimastigales.